This 1349-nucleotide ribosomal RNA is filed under the name uncultured Gammaproteobacteria bacterium. Its description in RNAcentral is "bacterial SSU rRNA". It matches the Rfam family "Bacterial small subunit ribosomal RNA", at positions 28 to 1397 of the family's 1533-position model. Lineage: Bacteria; Pseudomonadati; Pseudomonadota; Gammaproteobacteria. The record is from RNAcentral.
GAUGAACGCUGGCGGCGUGCCUAACACAUGCAAGUCGAACGGUCUUCGCAAGGGGACAGUGGCGCACGGGUGAGGAACACGUAGCCGACCUGCCUUGGAGUGCGGGAUAACGCCCCGAAAGGGGUGCUAAUACCGCGUAAGCUCACGGGAUUUAGAAACCUGGGAGAAAAGGCCUUCGGGUCGCUCUGAGAGGGGGCUGCGGCGCAUCAGGUAGUUGGUGGGGUAACGGCUCACCAAGCCAACGACGCGUAGGGGGUCUGAGAGGAUGAUCCCCCACACUGGGACUGAGACACGGCCCAGACUCCUACGGGAGGCAGCAGUGAGGGAUAUUGCACAAUGGGGGAAACCCUGAUGCAGCGACGCCGCGUGGGCGAUGAAGGUCUUCGGAUCGUAAAGCCCUUUUUGAGGUGACGAGCAAGGACGGUAGCCUCAGAAUAAGUCUCGGCUAACUACGUGCCAGCAGCCGCGGUAAAACGUAGGAGGCAAGCGUUAUCCGGAGUUACUGGGCGUAAAGCGCAUGUAGGCGGUUGGACAAGUUGGUUGUGAAAGCGCCCGGCUAAACUGGGCGAGGUCGAUCAAGACUGUGUAACUCGAGAGUGAUAGAGGGGCGCAGAAUUCGGGGUGUAGCGGUGAAAUGUGUAGAGAUCCCGAGGAAUACCAGUGGGGAAGCCGGCGCCCUGGGUCAUAUCUGACGCUGAGAUGCGAAAGCGUGGGGAGCGAACGGGAUUAGAGACCCCGGUAGUCCACGCCGUAAACGAUGUUCACUAGGUGUUCACUUGGCGCAAGUCAAGGGAGUGCCGAAGCUAACGCGAUAAGUGAACCGCCUGGGGAGUACGGUCGCAAGGCUAAAACUCAAAUGAAUUGACGGGGGCCCGCACAAGCGGUGGAGCAUGUGGUUUAAUUCGAUGCAACGCGAAGAACCUUACCAGGCCUUGACAUCCCCGGAACUUGGCAGAGAUGCCUUGGUGCCUUCGGGAACCGGGUGACAGGUGCUGCAUGGCUGUCGUCAGCUCGUGUCGUGAGAUGUUGGGUUAAGUCCCGUAACGAGCGCAACCCUUGUCCUUAGUUGCCAGCGCGUAAUGGCGGGAACUCUAAGGAGACUGCCGGUGACAAACCGGAGGAAGGUGGGGAUGACGUCAAGUCAUCAUGGCCCUUACGGCCUGGGCUACACACGUGCUACAAUGGCCGGUACAGAGGGUUGCCAACCCGCGAGGGGGAGCUAAUCCCAGAAAACCGGUCGUAGUCCGGAUCGGAGUCUGCAACUCGACUCCGUGAAGUCGGAAUCGCUAGUAAUCGCGAAUCAGAAUGUCGCGGUGAAUACGUUCCCGGGCCUUGCACUCACCGCCCGU